AGAUCAUGAGAAAGUUUAUGUUAUCACAAUGUAUUUCUGUGAUGUGCCUUGUCACUUUAAUUUUGGUUACUGCUAGCCAGCUCUCUCCAGCUUGCAGGGGACAUGUCGUGGUCUGGUAUGCAGAAGGUCACUUCCAUUGUUGAUUGCAAACCAAGCAGGAUUGCGUACCCAAGACUGAUGACUUUGUCCAGAAUUCUAUCAAAUUAAGUUGGAAAGAGCAGAGAGCUAAAGACAGGAAGGGCAAUGGAUCACGGAUUGGACAAGCCCCACUAACACUGUUUGUGUUGUCAGAGCCCACCAGACAAUUUAAAGGGGCUGGAGAAGAAUGCCUCUGGGGAUUCUGUACCAUUAGGACUGUUGUGACCCGAUUGAGAGGGGGUUUGGAGAUGUGCGCCUUAUCGAUGGCAACCGUAUGCAUGGACUUUGAAUGGGAUGCGGCUACUGGUAAAUGUGACUCAAGGACUAAGAUAAUUGAGUGGGAAGGAGAGAUGCUACAUAGCAGAGGCAAGCUGGAAAGAUUAUGAUAUUGCAUCUGGUCCCACAUUUGUGCGGGAAGUAAUGUGAGUGCUUGUAACUAUGUGAGUUGCAUCUUUGGUAUAUCGACCUUAAAGUGAAAUUUAUCUCCGUUUGAAAUAUCCUUUGUCUGUUAAAUAAUGUUUCAAUUGUGAUGAUUUUAGUUGGUUUGUUACAUUACAAGUUUUAAAAAGUGAAA
Molecule: long non-coding RNA, 712 nt
Organism: Carcharodon carcharias (great white shark)
Lineage: Eukaryota; Metazoa; Chordata; Chondrichthyes; Lamniformes; Lamnidae
Exons: 2
Source: RefSeq, a predicted model, not a curated record